AGUGAACGCUGGCGGUAGGCCUAACACAUGCAAGUCGAACGGCAGCACAGUAAGAGCUUGCUCUUACGGGUGGCGAGUGGCGGACGGGUGAGGAAUACAUCGGAAUCUACUUUUUCGUGGGGGAUAACGUAGGGAAACUUACGCUAAUACCGCAUACGACCUACGGGUGAAAGCAGGGGAUCUUCGGACCUUGCGCGAUUGAAUGAGCCGAUGUCGGAUUAGCUAGUUGGCGGGGUAAAGGCCCACCAAGGCGACGAUCCGUAGCUGGUCUGAGAGGAUGAUCAGCCACACUGGAACGGAGACACGGGCCAGACUCCUACGGGAGGCAGCAGUGGGGAAUAUUGGACAAUGGGCGCAAGCCUGAUCCAGCCAUACCGCGUGGGUGAAGAAGGCCUUCGGGUUGUAAAGCCCUUUUGUUGGGAAAGAAAAGCAGCAGGUUAAUACCCCGCUGUUCUGACGGUACCCAAAGAAUAAGCACCGGCUAACUUCGUG
Molecule: ribosomal RNA, 492 nt
Filed under: uncultured bacterium
Lineage: Bacteria
Description: partial 16S ribosomal RNA
Rfam family: Bacterial small subunit ribosomal RNA
Source: RNAcentral